UGGGGAAUUUUGCACAAUGGGGGAAACCCUGAUGCAGCGACGCCGCGUGAUUUAGAAGGCCUUCGGGUUGUAAAAAUCUUUUCUAUGGGAAGAAAAUGACAGUACCAUAGGAAUAAGGACCGGCUAAUUACGUGCCAGCAGUCGCGGUAAUACGUAAGGUCCGAGCGUUGUCCGGAAUCAUUGGGCGUAAAGGGUACGUAGGCGGGUAAGCAAGUUAGAAGUGAAAUCCUGUAGCUCAACUACAGUAAGCUUUUAAAACUGCUCAUCUUGAGAUAUGGAAGGGAAAGUGGAAUUCCUAGUGUAGCGGUGAAAUGCGCAGAUAUUAGGAGGAAUACCGGUGGCGAAGGCGACUUUCUGGCCAUAAUCUGACGCUGAGGUACGAAAGCGUGGGUAGCAAACAGG
This 402-nucleotide ribosomal RNA is filed under the name Bacteroidota bacterium. RNAcentral's name for it is "Bacteroidetes bacterium partial 16S ribosomal RNA". It matches the Rfam family "Bacterial small subunit ribosomal RNA", at positions 355 to 776 of the family's 1533-position model. Lineage: Bacteria; Pseudomonadati; Bacteroidota. The record is from RNAcentral.